UCGCAUGAAGGGGUAGUAAAUAUGCAUUCGUACAGGGUAGCCGUAAAAAAAUUGCUUCACUGAGAAGAUAGUGGCGGAGGAGGGGUAACACGUGGGUAACCUGCCCAUAAGAGGGGGAUAAUAUCCGGAAACGGGUGCUAAUACCGCAUAGUUUUCUUGAUCGCAUGAUCGAGAAAGGAAAGACGGCCUUUGUGCUGUCGCUUAUGGAUGGACCCGCGGCGUAUUAGUUAGUUGGUGAGGUAAUGGCUCACCAAGACGAUGAUACGUAGCCGACCUGAGAGGGUGAUCGGCCACAUUGGGACUGAGACACGGCCCAAACUCCUACGGGAGGCAGCAGUAGGGAAUCUUCCGCAAUGGACGAAAGUCUGACGGAGCAACGCCGCGUGAGUGAAGAAGGUUUUCGGAUCGUAAAACUCUGUUGUCAGAGAAGAACAAGUCGGAGAGUAACUGCUCCGGCCUUGACGGUAUCUGACCAGAAAGCCACGGCUAACUACGUGCCAGCAGCCGCGGUAAUACGUAGGUGGCAAGCGUUGUCCGGAUUUAUUGGGCGUAAAGCGAGCGCAGGCGGUUCCUUAAGUCUGAUGUGAAAGCCCACGGCUCAACCGUGGAAGGUCAUUGGAAACUGGGGAACUUGAGUGCAGAAGAGGAGAGUGGAAUUCCAUGUGUAGCGGUGAAAAUGCGUAUAUAUAUGGGAGGAACACCAGUGGUCGAAGGCGACCU
This 720-nucleotide ribosomal RNA is filed under the name Trichococcus patagoniensis. RNAcentral describes it as "bacterial SSU rRNA". It matches the Rfam family "Bacterial small subunit ribosomal RNA", at positions 62 to 727 of the family's 1533-position model. Lineage: Bacteria; Bacillati; Bacillota; Bacilli; Lactobacillales; Carnobacteriaceae. The record is from RNAcentral.